RNAcentral lists this ribosomal RNA (413 nucleotides) under uncultured bacterium. Its description in RNAcentral is "bacterial SSU rRNA". It matches the Rfam family "Bacterial small subunit ribosomal RNA", at positions 508 to 921 of the family's 1533-position model. The record is from RNAcentral.
ACAGCCGCCGCGGUAAGACAGAGGUGGCAAGCGUUGUUCGGAAUUACUGGGCUUAAAGGGCGCGUAGGUGGUGGCGUAAGUCCGAGGUGGAAUCCUGAGGCUUAACCUUAGAAUUGCCUUGGAAACUGCAUCACUUGAGUCAGACAGGGGAUGGCGGAAUUCCCGGUGUAGCGGUGAAAUGCGUAGAUAUCGGGAGGAAGGCCGGUGGCGAAGGCGGCCAUCUGGGUCUGAACUGACACUGAGGCGCGAAAGCGUGGGUAGCAAACAGGAUUAGAUACCCUGGUAGUCCACGCCCUAAACGGUGGGCACUAGGUGUGGGGCUCGUAAGGGUUCCGUGCCGAAGGGAAACCAUUAAGUGCCCCGCCUGGGGAGUACGGCCGCAAGGUUGAAACUUAAAGGAAUUGGCGGGGGAU